ACGGAGGGUGCGAGCGUUAAUCGGAAUUACUGGGCGUAAAGCGCACGCAGGCGGUUUGUUAAGCAGAUGUGAAAGCCCCGGGCUCAACCUGGGAAUGGCAUUUUAGAGUGAGACUAGAGUCUUGGAGAGGGGGAGAUGACGUUCAGGUGUAAGCGGUGAAAUGCGUG
RNAcentral lists this ribosomal RNA (167 nucleotides) under uncultured bacterium. Its description in RNAcentral is "partial 16S ribosomal RNA". It matches the Rfam family "Bacterial small subunit ribosomal RNA", at positions 525 to 692 of the family's 1533-position model. The record is from RNAcentral.